Molecule: long non-coding RNA, 1206 nt
Organism: Mya arenaria
Lineage: Eukaryota; Metazoa; Mollusca; Bivalvia; Myida; Myidae
Exons: 3
Source: RefSeq, a predicted model, not a curated record
UGAACUCCAGGGCUUGGUAUGCUUGCAAAUGCAAGAUUUGAUUGGUCAGUUGUUUUAACCGCUUUCCUUUAAUUUUCGUUCGUCACAAGGUUGACACAACUUUUUCACUUGUCAAACAAUAUAGACAUAUAUAUUUUACUAUAAAUAAUAAAGGAUCAGGGUUCUAAGGAAUAUAGGAUUUUGAUACCGUUUAAACAUAAACCCCACACGAGUGCUUGAGAUCGAGUGUUAGAGACAUAUAGUGGAGCUCAGUACCACAUACUGGAAAGACUAUGGAAAACGUUAGAAAACAUAGGAAUGUAGAACUCUGCCAUCAGAAGAAGCGAUUAAUCAAACUCUCAGCCAAACCUACUUGCAAAACUCAUAGGAUUUUUUCUGAAGAUCUGGUUGCCGUGGAAUUACUUCGUGCCAAAGUGACAAUUAACAAACCAUUAUUUGUUGGCAUGUGUAUUCUAGACCUCAGCAAACAUUUGAUGUAUGAUUUUUAUUACAAUCAUCUAAAAGAAAAAUAUCCUAAUAUAGAACUCUUGUACACUGAUACUGAUAGUUUUGUUCAUUAUUUAGAAUGUGAUAACAUAUUUGAUGAAUAUCGAAAACAUACACAUUUGUAUGAUCUAUCUGAAUUUCCAAAGAAUCAUCCAUUGCAUAGUGAUGUCAAUAAAAAAGUGCUUGGAAAAAUGAAAUCAGAAACAAAUGAAAAAAGUGUAUUUCAGAAUUUGUUGUGAAUUUCCAAGGAAUCAUCCAUUGCAUAGUGAUGUCAAUAAAAAAGUGCUUGGAAAAAUGAAAUCAGAAACAAAUGAAAAAGUGUAUUUCAGAAUUUGUUGCAUUAAAACCAAAAAUGUAUGCUUUUGCGUGUGAUAAUAUUGAAGUCAAGCAUUGCAAGGGUAUUUCAAAAACUACAGUCAAAAACAAUUUAAGACUAGAUCAUUACAAACAUUGUUUAAUCAGUCUAGAAGUUUCUCCAAUAUGUCAGUAAUUCGUAGUCAUAAACAUCAAAUAUAUAUUGUAAAGACAUUGUAAAAACUGGAUUAUCAUGCUAUGAUGAUAAACGUUUCUUACUCGAAAAUGGUAUUGACAGUUUGGCAUAUGGACAUUAUAAAAUAACACAACAUAGAUAGAUAGAUACUUUUUAUGUAUAAAUGAUGGCAUGUACAUUUCUUUACAGAAUAAUCUUUAAGUUUUUAGAUGAAAAAAUAAAAUAAAAAU